This 251-nucleotide ribosomal RNA is filed under the name uncultured bacterium. RNAcentral describes it as "partial 16S ribosomal RNA". It matches the Rfam family "Bacterial small subunit ribosomal RNA", at positions 524 to 776 of the family's 1533-position model. The record is from RNAcentral.
UACGUAGGGGGCCAGCGUUGUCCGGAAUCAUUGGGCGUAAAGAGCGCGUAGGCGGCCAGACAAGUCCGGUGUGAAAGUCACAGGCUCAACCUGUGAAUGCCGCUGGAAACUGUCUGGCUAGAGUCCGGAAGGGGCGAGUGGAAUUCCUGGUGUAGCGGUGAAAUGCGCAGAUAUCAGGAAGAACACCAAUGCGAAGGCAGCUCUCUGGGACGGUACUGACGCUAAGGCGCGAAAGCGUGGGAGCAAACAGG